CACGUAGGGUGCGAGCGUUGUCCGGAAUUAUUGGGCGUAAAGAGCUCGUAGGCGGUGUGUCGCGUCGGCCGUGAAAACCUGCAGCUUAACUGUGGGCUUGCGGUCGAUACGGGCAUCACUGGAGUUCGGCAGGGGAGACUGGAAUCCUGGUGUAGCGGUGAAAUGCGCAGAUAUCAGGAGGAACACCGGUGGCGAAGGCGGAUCUCUGGGCCAUUACUGACGCUGAGGAGCGAAAGCGUGGGGAGCGAACAGG
This 253-nucleotide ribosomal RNA is filed under the name uncultured bacterium. Its description in RNAcentral is "partial 16S ribosomal RNA". It matches the Rfam family "Bacterial small subunit ribosomal RNA", at positions 524 to 776 of the family's 1533-position model. The record is from RNAcentral.